Long non-coding RNA from Lepisosteus oculatus (spotted gar), 611 nucleotides. RefSeq lists it as uncharacterized. The record is from RefSeq and is a predicted model, not a curated record. NCBI's taxonomy places the organism in Eukaryota, Metazoa, Chordata, Actinopteri, Semionotiformes, Lepisosteidae.
AGGAACAUGAGAUUUCAUGAUUGUGUGCUUCUAGAAAACAGGAUCUGUUUGGUUAGAUAAAAGAUGUUAAUGGGUUAGAAAAAUCAACCCAAGCACUGUUCCUGAAGUGGGCUGAUUAUCUGUGGGACUUCACAAGCUGUGCUGUAGCUUGGAAAUGCAGGAGCUUCCUGAGUGCAGUAUCUCCACUGGACAAGUCUGUGGGAUGGUGUGUAAGAAAGUCCCUUUGAUCAUGCGGAGAAAAAUGGAGACUGCCAACUGAAACUCUCCAAGAAGAAGGGGAUGUCAUCAAUGCUGCAUCUAUAAUGUAGAACCAAGGACUUAUGUCCUUGACCCUAAUCUAAUAACUGUAUUGUCUGUGCAAUAAAGUGAAGGGGUCACGGGCUGUCUUUGGAUGGCUAUUAAUUUCUUUGAACUCUAGUUUUGGUACCACUAGACAAUCUGAUGGUGAUCUUUACUAAUUCAUGAACUAUCCAUGAAAGUACUUUAAGCAACAAUGUUAUCUCCUAACAUGUAUGAUGAGGGGAAAGCUGGGUAUCUGUACUGGUAAGUCUUUAUGGCCAAAUCAUGCUUUGCACUAACCAAGAUGCUGUGGUUGUAAUGCACAGGUUAAA